CCCUCGGAGAGUUAUAUCAAACUCAAGUAGCAGUAAUAUUGUGAAAGAGGACUCGUUGAACAGGGAA
This 67-nucleotide non-coding RNA is filed under the name unclassified sequences. Its description in RNAcentral is "RAGATH-18 RNA". It matches the Rfam family "RAGATH-18 RNA". Rfam says of the family: Actinobacteria, Firmicutes, Fusobacteria, Thermotogae (1 example). Nearby to self-cleaving ribozyme genes The record is from Rfam by way of RNAcentral.